GAACUGAUAAGAUCACCAAAGUUAAGCAGCAUCAAGCCUGGCUAGUACCUAGAUGGGUGACUGCUUGAGAAUACCAGGUGUUGUAA
Molecule: non-coding RNA, 86 nt
Organism: Acanthosepion pharaonis
Lineage: Eukaryota; Metazoa; Mollusca; Cephalopoda; Sepiida; Sepiidae
Source: the annotation of a GenBank genome assembly